Molecule: ribosomal RNA, 266 nt
Filed under: uncultured bacterium
Lineage: Bacteria
Description: partial 16S ribosomal RNA
Source: RNAcentral
CUGCUGCCUUCCGUAGGAGUCUGGUCCGUGUCUCAGUACCAGUGUGGGGGACCUUCCUCUCAGAACCCCUACGCAUCGUCGCCUCGGUGGGCCGUUACCCCGCCGACUAGCUAAUGCGCCGCAUGGCCAUCCGCAGCCGAUGAAUCUUUAACCGCCGAGGGAUGCCCCUCCGCGGUGUUACGCGGUAUUAGACGGAAUUUCUUCCGCUUAUCCCCCUGCUGCGGGCAGGUUCCAUACGUGUUACUCACCCGUGCGCCGGUCGCCGG